AGAGUUUGAUCAUGGCUCAGAUUGAACGCUGGCGGCAGGCCUAACACAUGCAAGUCGAGCGGCAGCGCGGGGUAACAUGCUGACGAGUGGCGGACGGGUGAGUAACGCGUAGGAAUCUACCCAGUAGCGGGGGAUAGCUCGAGGAAACUCGAAUUAAUACCGCAUACACCUUACGGGGGAAAGCAGGGGAUCUUCGGACCUUGCGCUAUUGGAGGAGCCUGCGUUGGAUUAGCUUGUUGGUGAGGUAAAAGCUCACCAAGGCGACGAUCCAUAGCUGGUCUGAGAGGAUGAUCAGCCACACCGGAACUGAGACACGGUCCGGACUCCUACGGGAGGCAGCAGUGGGGAAUAUUGGACAAUGGGGGCAACCCUGAUCCAGCCAUGCCGCGUGUGUGAAGAAGGCCUUAGGGUUGUAAAGCACUUUCAGUAGGGAGGAAAAGUUAGUCGUUAAUCACGGCUAACCCUGACGUUAACUACAGAAGGAGCACCGGCAAACUCCGUGCCAGCAGCCGCGGUAAUACGGAGGGUGCGAGCGUUAAUCGGAAUUACUGGGCGUAAAGCGCGCGUAGGCGGCCUGAUAAGUUGGAUGUGAAAGCCCUGGGCUCAACCUAGGAACUGCAUUCAAAACUGUCAGGCUAGAGUAUGGUAGAGGAUAGUGGAAUUUCCGGUGUAGCGGUGAAAUGCGUAGAGAUCGGAAGGAACAUCAGUGGCGAAGGCGGCCCCCUGGUUCGAUACUGACGCUAAGGUGCGAAAGCGUGGGGAGCAAACAGGAUUAGAUACCCUGGUAGUCCACGCCGUAAACGAUGUCAACUAGCCGUUGGGAGCCUUUGUGCUCUUAGUGGCGUAGCUAACGCGAUAAGUUGACCGCCUGGGGAGUACGGUCGCAAGAUUAAAACUCAAAUGAAUUGACGGGGGCCCGCACAAGCGGUGGAGCAUGUGGUUUAAUUCGACGCAACGCGAAGAACCUUACCAGGUCUUGACAUCCAGAGAACUUUCCAGAGAUGGAUUGGUGCCUUCGGGAACUCUGUGACAGGUGCUGCAUGGCUGUCGUCAGCUCGUGUUGUGAAAUGUUGGGUUAAGUCCCGUAACGAGCGCAACCCUUGUCCUUAUUUGCCAGCACGUAAUGGUGGGAACUCUAAGGAGACUGCCGGUGACAAACCGGAGGAAGUUGGGGACGACGUCAAGUCAUCAUGGCCCUUACGAGCGGGGCUACACACGUGCUACAAUGGCCAGGACAAACGGUUGCAACCCCGCGAGGGUGAGCUAAUCCGACAAACCUGGUCGUAGUCCGGAUCGGAGUCUGCAACUCGACUCCUUGAAGUCGGAAUCGCUAGUAAUCGCGAAUCAGAAUGUCGCGGUGAAUACGUUCCCGGGCCUUGUACACACCGCCCGUCACGUCAUGGAAGUGGGUUGCACCAGAAGUAGCUAGUCUAACCUUCGGCGUAACCUGCGGGAGGACGGUUACCACGGUGUGAUUCAUGACUGGGACGAAGUCGUAACAAGGUAGCCGUAGGGGAACCUGCGGCUGGAUCACCUCCUU
Molecule: ribosomal RNA, 1540 nt
Filed under: uncultured prokaryote
Description: partial 16S ribosomal RNA
Rfam family: Bacterial small subunit ribosomal RNA
Source: RNAcentral